RNAcentral lists this ribosomal RNA (253 nucleotides) under uncultured bacterium. Its description in RNAcentral is "partial 16S ribosomal RNA". It matches the Rfam family "Bacterial small subunit ribosomal RNA", at positions 524 to 776 of the family's 1533-position model. The record is from RNAcentral.
UACGUAGGUGGCAAGCGUUGUCCGGAUUUACUGGGCGUAAAGAGCGCGCAGGCGGUCGUUCAAGUCGCGUGUGAAAGCCCCCGGCUCAACUGGGGAGGGUCACGCGAUACUGAUCGACUGGAAGGCAGGAGAGGGUAGUGGAAUUCCCGGUGUAGUGGUGAAAUGCGUAGAUAUUGGGAGGAACACCAGUGGCGAAGGCGGCUCACUGGACCGGUACUGACGCUGAUGCGCGAAAGCGUGGGGAGCAAACGGG